Molecule: RNA transcript, 3936 nt
Organism: Glycine soja
Lineage: Eukaryota; Viridiplantae; Streptophyta; Magnoliopsida; Fabales; Fabaceae
Exons: 4
Source: RefSeq, a predicted model, not a curated record
AUAGUCUAGGAAACCUUAAGAAUUUUUACAUUUUCUUCUUAGCCACCAUUCCUUUGCUCUUGGCUUCUUCAAUUGGGCCUCUCAGCAACCCGGUUUCACCCACACGCCCUUCAUCUUCCACUCACUCCUCAAGUCCCUCUCACACACCAACCACUUCACUGCCAUUCACUCACUCCUCAAACAGGCCAAGGCCCUGAACUUUCCCAUCCUCCCUUCCUUGUUGAGCUCCAUUAUAGCGUCCCACAUUGCUCGCAACUCUGCCCGCGAAGCCUUUUUGCUCUUCAGUGGUGUUGGCUCUCUCUGUAGUGAAAUUGGAGGGGCUACAUGUAACUUCCUCCUGGCUGCCCUUGCCUUGGACGGGUGCUUGAAGAGUGCCCACAGGGUGUUUGAUGAAAUGGCUGAGAGGGGGGUUGGUUUCUGCAUGCUGGGAUUUGGGGUCUUCGUUUGGCGGGUUUGUGGAGAGGAUGAUUUGGAGAAAGUGGUGAGUCUGUUGGAUGAGGUUGGGGAAUGUGGUUCCGGGAUUAAUGGUUCUGUUGUUGUGGUUUUGAUUGUUCGUGGGUAAGGUGUUGGAGGCUUUGUGGAUGUUGGAUGAACUUGGGCAGGGGAUGGAAGCCUGAUUUCAUGGCUUACUGGGUUGUUGCAGCCGCAUUCCGGUCAAUGGGAAAUGUGGCUGAUGAGGUGAAGGUUUUGAAGAUGAAGAGGAAGUUAGGGGUGGCUCCCAGGAGUAGUGAUUACAGGGACUUGAUACUUGGUUUGGUUUUGGAGAGGCGGAUUUGUGAAGCAAAAGAAGUUGGGGAGGUUAUAGUUGGUGGUAAUUUUCCUGUUGAGGAUGAUGUUCUCAAUGCAUUGAUCAGAUCAGUAUCAAGUGUUGAUCCCGGUGCAGUGAUUGUGUUUUUCGAUUUCUUGGUUGAGAAAGAGAGGUUCCCUACUAUUUUGACCAUCAGCAAUUUGAGUAGGAACCUAUGUAGGCAUGGCAAGGCAUGGCAAGUUUGAUGAAUUAUUGGAGGUGUUCCAUGUUUUGAAUUCUCACAACUACUUCAAAGACAUGGAUGAUUACAAUGUGAUGGUGUCAUUUUUGUGCAAGGCUGGGAUAGUGAGAGAAGGCUAUGCUGUUCUGCAGGAGAUGAAGAAGAAAGGGUUCUGCCCCAACGUCUCGUCUUAUAAUUACAUAAUGGAAGCGUGUUUUAAGGAGGAUCUACUGCGUCCUGCAAGGAAGCUUUGGGAUGGGAUGUUUUCAAGUGGCUGUUGCGGGAAUUUGAAAACAUAUAACAUUCUUAUACAAAAAUUUUCUGAAGUGGGACAAGCUGAAGAGACUCAGAUGCUCUUUUACCACAUGUUAGACAAGGGGGUGGAACCUCAUGUUACAAGUUACACUUUUCUUCUAGAAGGGCUCUGCCAAGAAGACAAGCUUUUAAGCAGCUUUUGAGCUCUAUAACAAGUCUGUCAAACAGGACAUCAUCCUUGCAAGAGACAUAUUGAGCUCGUUUAUAUCGUCACUCUGCAGGAAAGGACAUCUUAUGGCUGCAUCCAAAUUACUUUGGAGUCUCAAUCAUGAUAUAGGAUGUGCAGAAUCCCAUGUAAUUUUGUUGAAAAGUUUUGCAAAUGCACAAGAGAUUCCAAUUGCCAUAGAGCACUUGAAGUGGAUUCCAGAAAAAUCUCCUUUGGUACUACAAGAUAUAUUUACAGGACUUUUGGCUUCUCUUUCUUCUGCUACAUGCCCUGAGCUGAUAUUACAAUUUUUUCAAAGAAUACAAUACUUGGAAGGAUAUGUGCAACCGAUGAUUACCAUGUGAGAAGAACUUAGGACUUGUUACCGGUGGAUAAUUCUAGAGAGUUGUUUUCUUGGAGGUGCUUUGUUUCAGCUCAACAAGGCAACAGAUAAUGCUAAUCAAUGAUAUUCAUCUGACCUUCCAUGGAACUCAAACUGUUCUGUGGAAAUUGAAGAUUUCUGCAACUCUUUCCCAGUCAGUUUCUCCCAAAUUUAGACUACCUCUCUCUUGGAUAAUAUGUUUUCUGGCGGCCUUAUGUAAACUGUCUUGUUUGGAGUUCUGGGCAUUGCUUACCCUAAAGAAAAACUAAGCAUUGCUUAUUGAUGUCAUGUGCUCCUUGCUCAUGAUUUGAUCAAUGUCCCAAAAUUUCUAGAUCAUUUGAUUAAAUUUUAUUUUCAAGUCGCUAGAAGACAAUGCAAUUCUUAUCAUCAUUGUAACUUGAAAUUUGAGUCGAAGUAGACUGGGGUUUGUACUAUGAAGCAUGAUGUUCAAGGACUUGUUACUUGGGUGCUCAGUGAAGGAUUGUCAAAAACACAUGUUGAAUAGGAACAUAAUAACUUGUGUACAAGGGAUAUAUCAAAGUAAAAAAGCACAUAUUAUUUAGCUUUCUUUCAUGUGUAAAUUGAUAAAAUCACAUCUUUUGCAAAAUCAUUUUUUAAAAAGUUGUUUGAGCACAACAAUAUCAUUAACGGGAAGAUAUUCAUUUAACUUGACAGUAUUCUGUAUGUUUAUGCUGUGAUUGUGGGUUGCAUUAUGUCCCACAAAUGAUAUUGUUGUGCUUUUAUGUUAUUGAUCAAUGAUGCCUCACAUGAUUGGAACUUAACUAGUUUAAGUUUGAAAAUAGGAAAAUGAUCUUUAAUAAAAGUUGGUAAAAUUAUGAAUAUUUUUAUUUUAUAGUUGAAAAUCUGUUUCAUUUUAUAAAAAGGUAUGGAAAAAGAAAUGUACAUGCAUGUGCCUUCUUAGUGGGGGAAAAUAUAAAAAUCAAUGGCUUUCAGCAACCUUGUCCCCAGGUACCUGAUAGACAGUUUAUAUAUACAUUUCAGUACAAUUGUAGGAUGAUAUGAAAAUACAAGCAAAACAGAAAAUCUGUCAAUAACCAAAUAAAAUUUAAAUAAUACUUGAGGGUAGAGUCACUGUUCAUCAGUACCUAUUAAAAAAAAAGAAUGAGGGUAUUGGGAGAGGGGUCAUGUAAGAAUUAUCACAUGAAUAAUAACAAAAGGGUUCCAUUCGUGAUCGGAAGUAGAAAAUAAUAACAGCUUUGAAGAAUGAAUUAUAUGAAUAAUCAGAAUCAAUAUUAUAUUCCUCUAUAUAAAUUAGCCAGCUCCAAUCCAACAAACCCUCACUGAAAAUAAACUUUACCCCCAUCUCAAAUGCAUAUCAUAAACAGCAUGAACAUAGUCACUGAGGAGGUCAUGGAGUAUCUAAAGAGGAUGUUCACAUGGAUUAGUAAAUUCUCCUACAAAUAUACGGUGGAUGAACAGGUGCGUCUCCACGUGCAUUUUGGAGACAUCCGAUGCCACGUUUUGCUGUUAGAUGGGCCCCAGAUGCCACUAAUCACCAUAGACGCACAUGCUACAUACCACUUCCCGUUUGAGCGUACCCCUUAGUGUUAUAUUAACCAUAUCAUUUUCUAUUAUGCUUACUUUGGAUUUGAGUGACUGGAUAACCCACUGCGAUUCUUGCAACAAUUUUUCAGGCAUGGUGCUAACGAGUGGGCCACUAGAUCUACUUUCUGAGGAUACAUCCGUUGAGGUCUUAAAGGAUAUGGGAGAUUUUGUCGAUGAUGAGGAUCUUACACCAUUCAAGAUCACAUUCUACCGUGGGGUCUGUGAUGAAGAGAUAUCCGAGGAAGAUAUGGUUUCGUCCACAACAAGGAGUGCGAUUCUUGAGAAGAUGAGAGCGACUCUUAUGAGGAUAUGAUUCCGUCCUAGGUAGUAUUGGGUCUUUGGUAGUGACUACUCUAAGUGUAGGAUUAUUUUUUUCCUUUUUAAUGUAUAUUUGGGGUGAGAAGAUUUCUAUAUUCGAUGUCAAGAUAUUUGAUGUAUUAAUACCUUUGGUGGUAUUGUAUAUUAUUUUGUGGGGGCAAUGAAUACUCUAUCUUUUGGCAAAACAGUUAUAAUUAUUUCAGUACAUUUGUUUAUAUCUCAAGGGUCAUUAAGGCUCGGUA